Molecule: ribosomal RNA, 1197 nt
Filed under: Triticum aestivum (bread wheat)
Lineage: Eukaryota; Viridiplantae; Streptophyta; Magnoliopsida; Poales; Poaceae
Description: partial small subunit ribosomal RNA
Source: RNAcentral
AUGCUUGCCGCUCUCAUCAUCACCAUACUAUUGAUGAUGAUGAUGAUGGCCACCUCUGCCGCGCUUGCCUCGGACGCAGUGGUGCUUAGAGGACAAGCAAGAGCACUCCUCGUCUGGAAAGAUAGCCUCGACAACCAAAGCCAGCACGCCCUGCGGUCCUGGGGAAACACGUCAGCGCCCUGCAAUUGGCGCGGCAUCACUUGCGGUACCAGUGUGCAUUGGCAUCGGUGGCGGCCGCUGAUCACUGGCAUCGCUCUGCGCGGCAUGCAAUUGGGAGGGACGCUGGAGUCCCUCAACUUCUCGGCCUUGAGGACCCUGGCGCGCCUCGACCUGUCAAGCAAUCAGUUGGUUGGUCAUAUCCCUUGUGAAAUGGGACACAUGAAGCACUUAGUUGCAUUAGAGUUGUCUAGUAAUAAUCUUUCCAGUAAAAUACCAAGUAGCAUAGGUGGUUUGACCAAACUCACUUCCUUAUACCUUUACGGUAACCAACUUUAUGGACAAAUUCCACGAGAACUGGGUUACCUUCUAAACUUAGAGGACCUGCAACUUGGCACCAACACACUCUCAGGUUCCAUUCCAAGAAAUUUACGUAAUUUGACGAAGCUCACCGUGUUAAGUCUCUGGGGCAACAAACUUUCUGGGCUAAUUCCACAGGAAUUAGAUUACCUUGGGAACUUGCAGUACCUGGAUCUUAGUGAAAACAUACUCUCAGGUUCCAUCCCAAAUAGCCUAGGCAAUUUGACAAAACUCACUACCUUGUACCUUUUUCAAAACCAACUUUCUGGACACAUCCCUCGAGAACUAGGUUACCUUGAGAACUUAGAAGAGGUAGCACUUAGAGACAACACACUAACUGGUUCCAUCCCAAAUAGCAUAAGUAAUUUGACCAAACUCACAGACUUGAACCUUUUCAGCAACCAACUUUCUGGACACAUCCCUAGAGAACUAGGUCACCUUGAGAAGUUACAGUACUUGGAGCUUGAGAACAACACACUAACAGGUUCCAUCCCAAAUAGCAUAGGAAAUUUGACCAAACUCACGGAUUUGCACCUUGAGAAUAACCAACUUUCUGGAGACAUCCCUCGAGAACUAGGGUAUUUAGUCAACUUAGACUACUUGUAUCUUAGCUACAACACUGACAGGUUCCAUCCCAGAAGACCUAGGCAAUCUCACGAAACUCCGUUACUUGUACCUUGA